This 708-nucleotide long non-coding RNA is filed under the name Corvus moneduloides (New Caledonian crow). RNAcentral describes it as "lncRNA (ENSCMUG00000018431.1)". The record is from RNAcentral. Lineage: Eukaryota; Metazoa; Chordata; Aves; Passeriformes; Corvidae.
UCAAGUCCAUUGUUUUCUUUGCUUGUACACACGCCUGGAUCCCCUGGAGGCAGGAGCAACAAAUUCCCGAAGAUUUUCCAGGAAUGGUUUGUGAAGGGGAUUGUUGACCGAGAGGAAAGCGGUGCCAUGGAUUGUUCUCACAGUUUGCUGGGAUUGAGCUGGAGUGGAGUGUCCGGGAACAUUCCUUGGCACAAACGAUUUGCUAAAAUCCCUGCGGCUGUCCAGACUUUUGGCUGAGGAUGGAAAAGAUCCGGCUCCUCCUCGGAUCCAUCAGUUGGAACUCUGGAAAACCUUUUGGAGCAGGAAGGAGCAAAAUCAUCGGGACAGCCGUGUCUGGAUUCUAUUUUGCCAUGAAAUCUCUUGUCUUGGGGUCUCAGACUCUUUAAUGAAGCCAAAUCCUGCCAAAACGGGAAGCAGGUGCAUUCCCAAGUCAAAACCUCAGAAUCCCAAGCCCCUGUUUCCCGUCGGGAGCCGGUUUUGAUGGAGCAUUUCCCAAAAACUCUGGGGCAGAACGGAAUUUGUUAAUCAAGAGAUAAAUAACGAAGACAAGAGCAAAACUGGCUGGCAGCAGCCGAAGAGAGGCAACAUCCUCUCAUCCCGGAUUCCCUGCUCCCGGAUUUCCGCGCUGGCCUUUCCCAGGUUUUCUCUCGUUCCCUUUCAUGCGGCUGGGAAGGGCGGAGCGGGAUUAGGGAUCGCUCUGUCUCUCUU